RNAcentral lists this ribosomal RNA (429 nucleotides) under uncultured Acidobacterium sp. RNAcentral describes it as "bacterial SSU rRNA". It matches the Rfam family "Bacterial small subunit ribosomal RNA", at positions 958 to 1385 of the family's 1533-position model. Lineage: Bacteria; Pseudomonadati; Acidobacteriota; Terriglobia; Terriglobales; Acidobacteriaceae. The record is from RNAcentral.
AACGCGAAGAACCUUACCUGGGCUCGAAAUGUAGUGGAAUCGGGUGGAAACAUCCGCGUCUCGCAAGAGACUGCUAUAUAGGUGCUGCAUGGCUGUCGUCAGCUCGUGUCGUGAGAUGUUGGGUUAAGUCCCGCAACGAGCGCAACCCUUAUCCCUAGUUGCCAUCGGGUCAAGCCGGGCACUCUAGUGAAACCGCCCAGGAUAACUGGGAGGAAGGUGGGGAUGACGUCAAGUCCUCAUGGCCUUUAUGUCCAGGGCUACACACGUGCUACAAUGGUCGGUACAAACCGUCGCAAACCCGUGAGGGGGAGCUAAUCGGAAAAAGCCGGCCUCAGUUCGGAUUGGAGUCUGCAACCCGACUCCAUGAAGCUGGAAUCGCUAGUAAUCGCGGAUCAGAACGCCGCGGUGAAUACGUUCCCGGGCCUUGUA